UUGGAGGCCUUCCAGGUGGGAUUACCAUGAACUCCCCCAGACUUGAAAAAGAGCAAGGGUAAUGAGUUUUUUCCAGGUUGGUUGGUCUCCUAUUA
This is a non-coding RNA of Pelagibacteraceae bacterium GOM-A1, 95 nucleotides long. The record is from Rfam. Lineage: Bacteria; Pseudomonadati; Pseudomonadota; Alphaproteobacteria; Candidatus Pelagibacterales; Candidatus Pelagibacteraceae.